RNAcentral lists this ribosomal RNA (253 nucleotides) under uncultured bacterium. RNAcentral's name for it is "partial 16S ribosomal RNA". It matches the Rfam family "Bacterial small subunit ribosomal RNA", at positions 524 to 776 of the family's 1533-position model. The record is from RNAcentral.
UACGUAGGGUGCGAGCGUUAAUCGGAAUUACUGGGCGUAAAGCGUGCGCAGGCGGUUUUGUAAGCCAGAUGUGAAAUCCCCGGGCUUAACCUGGGAAUGGCAUUUGGGACUGCAAGGCUGGAGUGCGGCAGAGGAGACUGGAAUUCCUGGUGUAGCGGUGGAAUGCGCAGAUAUCAGGAGGAACACCAAUAGCGAAGGCAGCUCGCUGGGACGGUACUGACGCUAAGGCGCGAAAGCGUGGGGAGCGAACAGG